RNAcentral lists this unclassified non-coding RNA (248 nucleotides) under Hevea brasiliensis (rubber tree). The record is from RNAcentral. Lineage: Eukaryota; Viridiplantae; Streptophyta; Magnoliopsida; Malpighiales; Euphorbiaceae.
ACUAAAUUCUUUCGAGGGAGAACAUCCUUUCCACAAUUACACAAUACGAUCCAAGUACAGAAAACAAUCUCCUGCCAGAAACUUGUUAAAAAAUGACAGUCUCUUAAAAAAAGGGAGGCCCUCCAGUGAGGAAGAAAUAUCUGGGUCUGAGGAAAUUGAUGGAGAACAAAACCGUAAAGAGCAGGGGGUUGUGACGAUUGUUGAGGCUGAAAAUCAAAAUGCAGAAGGCAACUGUAAUUUGAAAGUUA